This is an RNA transcript of Manihot esculenta (cassava), 2939 nucleotides long. RefSeq lists it as uncharacterized. The record is from RefSeq and is a predicted model, not a curated record. The transcript has 5 exons. NCBI's taxonomy places the organism in Eukaryota, Viridiplantae, Streptophyta, Magnoliopsida, Malpighiales, Euphorbiaceae.
ACUCUCGAUAAUAUUUGAACUUCUUUACAUAAUUUUGAGAAUCAAAAUCCAAAUUUUGGCAAGAGAGAGAGAGAGAGAGAGCAUGUUCAGCAUUUUGGCCAUUAGUAUAACAUAGAAACAAUAUACAAGAGAGAACUACAAGACCACUUGCUAAAAACAGGCAUUACAACAAACAGAUAAAAUACGCAAGAACCAAGCCACAUUGUCCCAAUUCAAGACCACCUCAUAUAGAAGUUAAAAGAAAAAGGAACUAAAAAAGAGGAAAAGAAACGAAGCAAAAGGGUUCAAUGAGUGAUAAUCAAAAUCCCCGGUGGGAGAAAGUUGAACCUUGGCUGCACUUAUGGGUGCUUUAAGUAUCUGGUGCAAGUGACAAUCAAAGAAGAAAAGAAGCUAAAAAGAUAAUUAAAUAAAAAAAGGAGGAGUUUGUGGAUCAGAUGGACAUGAGAGAGCCCUGUGCUUCUCGCGUUCACUUCUAGAAGUAGAACAGCGUUCAGCUAGAAGGAGCAAAUGGAGGGGUCUUUAAUUGGGUGUGCUCAACCACAUGGUAUUUACGAUAAGCGCCUUUCUUGAAAACGAGGUCAAACUCAAAAGUCAAAACCAUAUACCAACUGAAGUCUAAACCGAGAGAGAGAGAGAGAGAGCUGGUAUACUAUCAAGCUGGAAGGAAAGAUUGUAUUGUGGGCGAAGAGGAGGAAGAUGAAGCAGCAUCACGAGUGGCCGUGUGCGGGAUAUGGGCGGCCACUCUUCUUGACGGAGAGAUGCUUCCUUUUGGGUGCCCUUUAUCCGGUCUUGUUCUUGGCCUCAUCUUCAUCGUUCUCCGCUUUCAUCUACCAAUUCCACGGGCAAUCUUUCAUCUGUCCUGCCUUUGAAAACUGAUAUGAUUUUGUUUUUGGGUGAUUUACAUUGAUGGAGGCCCUUAUUUCUCACAUCAAGAGCAUAUCUUUGGUUUGAAUGCAGAAGGAAAAUAUACAGAUACGAAGGUCUACUUCAUUCCUGGAAACCACGGUAUUGGCUAUGCAAGCAUCAAUUCUCAUAAACCAGAGGUUGUCAUACAAUAUAUAGAAGAAUUUGGGAUUAGAAAUUUCCGUUUUACAGCUGGUAAAGUGGAGUUUAUAGCUAUCGAUGCUCAAACUCUUGAUGAUAAGGCAGUUUUCCAAUCUUCAACAUCCAUAAAAUUGCCUUAAAUGCUACAAUUUCAUGUUAUUUAUAUAUUAUGGAAGCGUAGCAGUUGCAUCUCAUUCUAAAUACCCAAGCUAAAUUGUUGUCAUGGUCUCCAUAUGGAUUUAUAAAAUGGGCAAUACUUAUAAAACUAAGCAGCUUUCUCUCAAUUCAUAAUUACUGUUAACCCACUUUUCAAAUGCUUUAAGUUUAUUCUCCUUACUGGAGAUUGUGGAUCUUUAUAUGCUCUUCUCACGCUUGAACUCACCCAUGUGUUAUUUUGUUAUAUGCUCAUCCGAUUACACAUUCUGCUCUUUGUCGAGAAAUAAAGUGAGCUUCUUAUACUCUUUCUAAUGCAAUGGGCACAGGAGAAUCAUACGAAAUUGUAGAAUUCAGUCAAGCAGCUAUUUGUUUUAUGGUCUGGUAGAUGGUUCCAUGCUUCAGGGUUUGCUUUAAUAAGUUGCAGUUUUCUCUGUGUCCAUGUGUAUGGCAGCCCAAUGGUUAUUAGUGUGAAAGAUUGAACUUGGUAUUAAGUUGGGAGAAUGUAUGUUUUCAUGGCCGUAUGCCCAAGGAUGUUCAAAGAAGUGUCAUCGCUUUUGACAUUCAACAAAUCUAUGAAAAUAGCAUUUGUAAAAUAGGUAAUUGUAGAAACAAAAGGGGGAAAAGAAGAUUUCUUGUCUUUGUUUCUCUAUACCUAAACCACAUACAAAUAUAUGCAUAUAAACAUGUCCUUGGGGAAGAUACUGUAACUGGAGAUACUAUAUAUGGUUUCAUGCAGGCACUACUUUUAUCAGGACAUGAUCAUAACCAGUGUAAAGUGAUACAUGGGUCAAAAUUUGGGCCCAUAACGGAGGUAAUCAUUCUGGUAUUUUGGCAUUUAUAAGUUUCUGGGGAUAGGCUUUAAUUGAUAAUAGUAUGCAGCACACUUUAGGGACUAUUACCUGGCAGCAGGGAAACUUGUUUCCGUCUUUCAUGCUAUUGUCUGUUAGCAACUCUGCAAAUGCCAACAUCCACCCCAGAGAAAUGCAUUAAUUUCUCAACUGUGCUUUCUUCCAUGGCAAAUGCAUAUUUACAUAACUCUCACUCUGGAUGAAUAGUAGUAGUUAUCUUGGGAGUUUUUGGGAAAGGGGUAUUGGAGAUUAAUUCAAAAUUUUCAACUACCAAAAUUAGACUUGGUCUUUAGUUGUUAAUUUUUUGUAAUCUCAAUGACUAAAAAAAAUUGAAAUCCAAAUCAACCCGUUUGAAUUAAGUUCCAACAAGGGGUUGGGUAGAUAAUGCUGUCUAGUAUCUACUUAUUUUAACGUUAUAUCAUUAAUAUUGCCCUGGUAUCUUUCCCUUUUCACUCUGAAUGUACUUUAAUCAUUUGGCCAAGAAGUGUUGGGCAUCACUUGAGUGGCUUAGUGUAAUGUAUUAGACUUUACAGAAGCAUGUUUAGAGGAGAAAAAGCGAACAAGGAAGAUAAGAAUUAUGAAUAUGAAAUGAUGUGGGAUGCAGAAGGAGCAAUGCAUCUUGUGAAGAAAGCAGCAGAUUCUCCUAUUUGGCACCCAAGUGAUAAAGCUGCUGUUGAAAGGUGUUUCAUCUCUGCAUUCUCAUCAGCAUAUAGUAGCUGCCAGUAAGAUACGUAAGACAACUAUUAUGUCUGGAUAUUGGUUUUUCUUGAUUCUUUCCAAGCCCAAUUGUUGUGUGAACUCAACGAAGGGAGUUUUGACUUUUGAACUUCGCUUCUUUAAGAGGGUGUUCAAAUCUCAAUUAAGUUGAAAUAAAUCUGUUUAUUUUAUUUA